GCCAGCAGCUAGCUCUCUGCAACUCUCACAUGGUCGCCCACUGAAGCUAAGCAGGGCUGCGCCCGGUCAGUACCUGGAUGGGAGACCACUUGGGAAAGCUAGGUUGCUGCAGGAA
RNAcentral lists this ribosomal RNA (115 nucleotides) under Danio rerio (zebrafish). Lineage: Eukaryota; Metazoa; Chordata; Actinopteri; Cypriniformes; Danionidae. The record is from RNAcentral.